GCUGCAUGUGUUAACCACAACAGAUGGCCGUAGCCACCGGGCUUGUCCUUGGUGCAGUCAGCCUGGGGGCUGCGGGGGCUUGUGGAAGCAUGUGGGAAGACGGUCCCACUGGUCAGCAGAGCAGGGUCCUCACCGACCCACAGAGGAGCAUGUCACAGGACAGGCAGGCGUGUCAGGGAAGGCCAGGCUAGUGCCAGCCGAGGGCAUUUCCUCCCAGACUGCCCUUUUCCUCACACUCCCACCACACAGCCCUCAAAGCCUGUGUCCCUGUGGGCCCCUGGCCAAGGAGCAAGGGCUGCCCUGCCUGGGCCCCCCCGCCAGCCCGUUGGUCACCUCAUGCUGUGUGCCAGGCUCGGGGAGUGUGCCUGUGUGUGUGUCCAGGUGGCAUUUGGAUGAAGACACAGGUGUGUGGUGAGGCUGUGCGGGAGGACGGGCCUAUGCGUGCGGUGGGCAGGUGGUGUGAAGGCGGGCGGGCGUGUGGCAGCGCGCCGGCUGAGCCCCUCCACUUCCAGGUCAGCCAGAGCAGCCUCCCCAUGCUGUCCUCGCCGUCACCGGGCCAGCAGGUGCAGACCCCGCAGUCGAUGCCCCCACCCCCCCAGCCGUCCCCGCAGCCCGGCCAGCCCAGCUCACAGCCCAACUCCAACGUCAGGUAGGCCUGGCCUGGGGUGCCCCUCCCCACCUGGCCCUUGAGGCUGGCCCUGCCUGGACCCCAGCUCACACGUUUCUCUCACUUGGCUGCAGCUCUGGCCCUGCCCCGUCCCCCAGUAGCUUCCUGCCUAGCCCCUCACCGCAGCCCUCCCAGAGCCCAGUGACGGCGCGGACCCCACAGAACUUCAGUGUCCCCUCACCUGGACCUUUAAACACACCUGGUAAGUUGGGCCUGGGGUCCACGGCCCCGUCGUGUGACCUGUACUCGGCCUGGUGGGUUGAGGUGCUGAGGUCACCCCUCACCUUUAUGAGGCCUCAGCUUAUACUGGGUGUGUGAGCUCUGGGGCCCUCAGAGCUCAAGUUCCCCACCUGAGGGUCGAGGGCUGUGGCCUCACCCGCCUGUGUCCUGCAGUGAACCCCAGCUCUGUCAUGAGCCCAGCUGGCUCCAGCCAGGCUGAGGAACAGCAGUACCUGGACAAGCUGAAGCAACUGUCCAAGUACAUCGAGCCCCUACGCCGCAUGAUCAACAAGAUCGACAAGAACGAAGGUAGGCUGCAGCCAGGGCACGAGCCUGCACCCUGGGGACACCGCCGGGCUUGUGUCUUAGUGUACCCUCUUCUGUCCCAGACAGAAAAAAGGACCUGAGUAAGAUGAAGAGCCUUCUGGACAUUCUGACAGACCCCUCGAAGCGGUGAGCUUUGCCCACAGCCCACGGAGGGUCCACAAGGGCACGGAUAGCCCAGCCAUGGAUAGGCACUUGGUGAUGAUGUGGGUUUAACAAAGGCACCAGGCAGCUCUUUGGGCCCUGGCCAGAGGCCUCCAAGGCUCCACUCUGGUGUGUGCUGGGGCUUCAAGCCCAGGCUUCAUCUUGGCCCGUGCCCAGCCUUUGCCCUACUCCUGGCUGCUGCUGUGGCCCUCAUGCUGGGCCAUCACAGCCAGACCUCAUCCAGCCAGCAGCCAGGGUCCCAGCUUGCAGUGGCCUGAUCAUCAGCUGGCCCUGAUGGGCCUGAGCCUGACCUGGAGUUCUGCCCCUGACUUGCCGGUGACCAUGGGCAGGCGACUGCAUCUCAGUUACCCCAUUUGUAGCCCAUGUGUGUUGUCAUGAAAAUGAAACAAGAUGGCGCUGGUGAGAAGCAGGUGGAAGGCAGGGCCGCUGGCCACAGGCUGCUGUGAGGAUCAGAGCUCGGACAGUACCUCCAAACUGCAUGGGCAUUGGCAUAUACCUCCCUUUCACCUCAACUCAGGCUAUCCCCCAACCCCUGUCUAGAAGGGUCUCUCUGUUCUGCUUGUCUGGAUAGAAUGCCAGUCACUACUGGGUGGUCCUCCGGCCUUCAUGGGUUGAUGCUUUGUUAGGGUUAUAGGGAUGAGCGGGGCAGGGACUGGCCUACAUGAGAAUGAGGCAUUCCCAGCCUGAUCAGGGGCCUGUCCACUGUCCCUUCUCUUGACCCAUCGCCUCACUCUGCCAACCAGGGACAAGCCGCUCCUGGGGUUGAGGGCUGCCUGCCUUCAACUCUGGGUCUGGGAACAGCUGGUCAACUGGUAGGAGCUCCUGCAGAGGUUUCUGAUGGCCGAGGCCCAGUGGCAGUAGUUGGGAUCCUGAGCCUGAGAACUGCCAUGUCUUCCACUCUUUCAGCACAGAGGUCAGCCCAAGUCCUCUCUCUCUGCAGGUGUCCCCUGAAGACCUUGCAAAAGUGUGAGAUCGCCCUGGAGAAACUCAAGAAUGACAUGGCGGUGGUGAGUGGGAUGCCAGACACCCCUAGGGGAACCAGGGCUCCCCUAAGAGCUCCUGGGAGUGCCGCUGAGAGGGGCCUUCAAGGUCAGGGCAUCUGGGCGGGGGCCGGGCCUGACCUUGGACCCUGCCCACGAGGCUUCCAGGCCAGGUCUGCUGUGCUGGGUGGGAACAUGGGAGAAGUCACCCUCUGUUUACGGCCCCCGUGGGUGCCUCCUCCACCCGGUUCAGAGGAGGCAGGGACUGUAGGGAGGAUAGGCUGUGGGGAUGGGGGAUUAUUCCCAGGAUCAGCCAACAUUGUCUGCACAAGGGUGGAGGCUGUGAGAGAGGCCUCGGGAAUCUGACUGUGAGUGACGACGGGCCUGGGGUGUGAAGGCCCCCUAAAUGGGGAACCCUCGGGUCCCGGGCUGCUGACCGUGCCCAUCCUGCCUCCAGCCCACUCCCCCACCGCCCCCGGUGCCACCGACCAAACAGCAGUACCUAUGCCAGCCGCUCCUGGAUGCCGUCCUGGCCAACAUCCGCUCACCUGUCUUCAACCAUUCCCUGUACCGCACAUUCGUUCCAGCCAUGACCGCCAUUCACGGCCCACCCAUCACGUAUGUCCAGCUGGGCUGGGCUUUGCGGAGGGCGGCCAGCCCUGGGCCACAUGUGCCCGGUGUGGUCACCAUGCCGCCUCCCCAGGGCCCCAGUGGUGUGCACCCGGAAGCGCAGGCUUGAGGAUGAUGAGCGGCAGAGCAUCCCCAGUGUGCUCCAGGGCGAGGUGGCCAGGCUGGACCCCAAGUUCCUGGUAAACCUGGACCCUUCUCACUGCAGCAACAAUGGCACUGUCCACCUGAUCUGCAAGCUGGGUGAGUGUCCAGAGGGCCAGGGCUGGCGUGAGAAAGCAGGCCCUGACCGUAGCCCCAGGACUCUGCCGUCCGAGCCAGAGGGCACAGCGCCCAGAACCCACCCUGUGUUCACGCCCCACCAGGCCUCAGAAAGCCUGGCCAUGCCUCAGUCCCCACUGCCAGAGCCCGCACACUCUCACCUCCCCAACACAGAUGUGGCUCUGCUUGCCUGGGCCCUAGGGAGGUGGUAGGCAGGACCUCUGGGCACCCAUCGAUGCAGGGCACUCCAGGCUUCACGUUUGGAAAUCUGAGAGUCAGAGAGACCUCCUCCAGGUUUUGCCACAAGCUUCACCAGAACCUCCCAGGGUGUGAAGAGUCCUGUUCCAGAGCAGGGCUGUGAGGCAGGGAAGGCCGGGGCUUGUCCAGGUCACAGAUAGAGCCUUCUGUGUUGCAGAUGACAAGGACCUCCCGAGUGUGCCACCACUGGAGCUCAGUGUGCCCGCUGACUAUCCUGCCCAAAGCCCACUGUGGAUCGACCGGCAGUGGCAGUACGACGCCAACCCCUUCCUCCAGUCGGUGCACCGCUGCAUGACCUCCAGGCUGCUGCAGCUCCCAGACAAGCACUCGGUCACCGCCUUGCUCAACACUUGGGCCCAGAGCGUCCACCAGGCCUGCCUCUCAGCCGCCUAGCCAAGACUGCAGGGAUGGCCCGCAGCCUCAUCGGGGCCAAGGACACACGCCUCGUGUCAGGCACUUCUAGGUGUUGGCUUCCUUAGAGAGCCUGGGUUUAGGUUAGCUUUCCUGCUUUUAUCUUCUGCCUUGGGGACCUGCCAAACGAAAUCCCACACCUGUACAGAACUGGGAUAGGCGCAGUGGAGCGGGCUGCUUGGGGGGUGUUGGCCGACUUCUUACAGAAGGCCCUCCAUGUGACUUCCUCCAAGGAGCCAGAUGCGAUCCUUGGGCUGCUCUCACUGUGGCCUGUCCACGGUCCAGGUCCAUCUCAGCAGCGUGAGGGUGCACUCAGGGUGUUGUUAGAGCGUCUCGUGUGUGCUAGACACACCCCUACUCGUUCCUAUAGGAGAACACAGAGGACAUAGGAAACCCUUAAAACACACAUGGGAUUCUCUGGUCACAGUUUUGGGUUCAGGCUACGCUGCUUUGGGCAGGUAGGGCACCCUCUGGGGAAGCCCCCAAGUCCAGGGCACAGGCUGCCUUUUGGAGGGAGGGCU
RNAcentral lists this small RNA (4433 nucleotides) under Pongo abelii (Sumatran orangutan). Its description in RNAcentral is "retained intron". Lineage: Eukaryota; Metazoa; Chordata; Mammalia; Primates; Hominidae. The record is from RNAcentral.